GGUGGUUGGACUGAGUCCCAUGAAGCCAGAUCACUUCUGACUGCAAGGAGCUUGGAAAAGCAAGUAUCUGGAUCUUUUACCAGCUAAAUUUGGAGCGAUGAGGCUUCCUCUUUGAAGAUCACAGGUGAGAAGAUUAGGUGCUUUCUCAGAAGCCCAGCAACCUGAUGGGAGUGUGGAGUGAGCAAGACCCAAAUCGGAGCUUCAUCCCUGCAUGGUUCAUUUUGCUUAUUUGGCAAACUUGCCCUGCAGAAUCUACUCAAGCUUCCUCAGUUUCUCAAAUCAUUCUUGGGCAACAAAUGAACAAGAAAGAGGACGUCUUAUUAUCUGGUGUCUGGCUUGCUGAUUUAAUAACCUAGGAGACAGUGUUUGAAGAACACAAACUCUAAAGUCCUUCACUUAAAAAAAAAAAAAAACUUUCCCAAAUUGCUUACCAUUUGGAAAAAUUGCCUUACCUUCUUCAGUCAUCUCUGAUGUUGUCAUCCUCAGAGUAAGAAGUACGCAUUCAUAAGGAACCAUAACGUCCUUCAGGAAAUCCAGUACACCCUACAAUUUUACCUAAAACUUUGAUGUUGUUUUUUCUGAGCAUUUUACCUUCUAGGGAAAUGGAUCUCAUGCUGUUUAUCAGUUUCUGAAAGUUGUUAUUAAUCUCCCCUCAUCCCAAAAUUGAAGAACUUUGCUUAAAUCUUAGAAUCAGAACUUUGGCUCCAGUAAUAAAGACUUUUCAAUAUCUUUAUCUGCCAUUGAGUCUUACCUAACGAAAUAAAGCCUCCAAAGUGGGAAUUUGAAAUGUUU
Molecule: long non-coding RNA, 792 nt
Filed under: Homo sapiens (human)
Lineage: Eukaryota; Metazoa; Chordata; Mammalia; Primates; Hominidae
Description: HSALNT0321885
Source: RNAcentral